CCUACGGGAGGCAGCAGUGGGGAAUCUUGCACAAUGGGGGAAACCCUGAUGGAGCGACGCCGCGUGAGUGAUGAAGUAUUUCGGAACGUAAAGCUCUGUUAGCAGGGAAGAACAUGUCGGUACGUGACUAUGCAGAUCCGGCCAACUCCGUGCCAGCAGCCGCGGGAAUACGUAGGGGGAAAGCGUUAGCCGGAUUUACUGGGGGUAAAGGGAGCGUAGACGGCAGGGCAAGUCUGGAGUGAAAGGCGGCGGCUCAACCCCAGGAGUGCACUGGAAACUGCAAGGCUGGAGUGCAGAAGAGGAAAGUGGAAUUCCAUGUGUAGCGGUGAAAUGCGUAGAGAUAAGGAGGAACACCAGUGGCGAAGGCGACUUACUGGACUGUAACUGACGUUGAUGUUCGAAAGCGUGGGGAUCAAACAGGAUUAGAUACCCUUGUAGUC
RNAcentral lists this ribosomal RNA (440 nucleotides) under uncultured bacterium. RNAcentral's name for it is "partial 16S ribosomal RNA". It matches the Rfam family "Bacterial small subunit ribosomal RNA", at positions 338 to 795 of the family's 1533-position model. The record is from RNAcentral.